This 490-nucleotide ribosomal RNA is filed under the name uncultured bacterium. RNAcentral's name for it is "partial 16S ribosomal RNA". It matches the Rfam family "Bacterial small subunit ribosomal RNA", at positions 29 to 507 of the family's 1533-position model. The record is from RNAcentral.
AAUGAACGCUGGCGGCAUGCCUAACACAUGCAAGUCGAACGACACCAUGACCUCUCUUGCUGGGUGGAUGGCUAGUGGCGAACGGGUUGGCUAUGCAUCCGAACUUGCCUUUUGGAAUGUGAUAUCAUACCGGAAGUUAUCUUAAUACCGCAUAUUCUUUGCCGUGGAAAGCGGGGGACCUUGGGUCCUUGCUCUAUAAGGUCAGCCCAUGUCAGAUUGGCUAGUUGGUGGGGUUAUGGGACACCAAUGCACCGAUCGGUAGCGGAUCUGAGAGGAUGAUACGCCACACUGGGACUGAGACACGGCCCAGACUCCUACGGGAGGCAGCAGUGGGGAAUUUUGGACAAUGGGCGCAAGCCUGAUCCAGCCAUGACGCGUGAGUGAAGAAGGCCUUCGGGUUGUAAAGCUCUUUAGGCUGGGAAGAAAUCGAACCCUCUUAUACAGGGUGUGGAUGACGGUACCAGCAGAAAAAGCACCGGCUAACUACGUG